CCAGCUGAGCGUGCUCAUCCACCACCAGCGUGUACCUUGACGAGGAGUCGUAGGACAGUCGCUGGUGUCUGAGCUCAGCCAGGCCCGUGGGGGUGGCGGCUCCCCAGGCUCCUCGCCACCCUCCACCUGGUGGCUCGGCCCGCUCCGGGGAUGACAGGCAGUCGAAGCCCUGCCUCGUCCUCCUCACUGAUGGAGGGGGUGAGCCGGCCUGCUGCAGAGGGGUAGGCGGCAGGGUCCGGGUCGGAGGCUGACUGACAUCCGGCUCUCUGCAGGCGGCAGGAAGGCCGAGGAGCAGGCUCUGUGGUGUCGCGGGGGCCUCUGCACUGGUGUCAGGUAGAUCUCCUCUGUGGCCUCCAGCCGCACAUCGGCCUGGUAGUGGAUUCGGUCCCGAUGGGAGUGGCCCAAACCACCAGGGGUGGCAGCAGGGGAGCCACCCAGAGGUGCCAUCUGGGUGGCAGCGCUGCGACGACAAGGGCUGUCGGUGGAAGUGCCGCAGUCCUUGAGUGGGGGCGGGGCUGCCCUGGGGUGGCAGCUCAUCACUCAGGCAGAUGUGUUCAUGGGGCGGCGUCUGCUCCCCUGGAGGGCAGGCAGGUCAGGGUGAAGCAGGUGUCCCCAACAAGUCUGCCAGUCACCUCCCUGUCGCCCUCAGCAUGUUGACCCAGAGGCCAAGCAAUGCCUCCCUGGCAACAGGCCCUGGACCGGGACCAGGCAACUCGCUCACAGCACAGCUGCCCUUCAGCCCUAGCUGGGCUGGUGCCAGGAAUGGGUGCUGGGUGCAGGUGGGUACCGGAGCUCUGCUGGACAAGUGGGGGCCACAGCCUCAGCUCUGAGUACCAGGGCCCGAGCAGGGCAGGCUGAGGUCCAGCCCGGGGAGGUGAGGGUCUUGGCUUACCUGUCUUGAGGGGGUGAGGAUGAUCGAGACACCCGAUCCUGCCAACUGUGCUUUUUGCCAAGAGAAUUAUUAUUCAGUGUGUCCUGUGCAGGGGACAAAAGGCCCUUGUGAAGAUGCGGCCAGCAGUGCCCAGCACAGGGAGGCCCUGCCCUGCCCCCAUCGGGCCAUCCCUAGGCCUGGGCCUCACCCACCCACUUCCACUCGCCAAGGCCUCACUCCCAACCCUCCGGGAACAGGUGCGAGGGUGGCAGGUGACAGACUCCCUCCUGGCUCGGAGCAGCUGGCCAGCCCUCAGAGGGUGCACUUAUGAGCCUCAGAAAGGGUGGCAGUGGCCAGUGUGUGUGGUGAGGGGGUAGCAGGAGUCCUCAUCAGCGUUUACAUGUAAGAUGCUCAAAUCCAGCCCAGGGGAGGACAGGGGGACUCCCUCCCCUGAAGCUCAGGAAGCUGUGGCCCAGAAAGGGCCAGUGACACUGGCAGAGGCUGAAAAAAGCCUAAAGAAGUCUCCCUAGCAGCUGGCCCGGGAGAGGGCUUAGCAUGAAUCCAAGUGAUGACCUCAUACCACGCCCCACCCCCAGUCACACACGAUGGGGAACGACAG
RNAcentral lists this long non-coding RNA (1490 nucleotides) under Heterocephalus glaber (naked mole-rat). RNAcentral's name for it is "lncRNA (ENSHGLG00000046678.1)". Lineage: Eukaryota; Metazoa; Chordata; Mammalia; Rodentia; Bathyergidae. The record is from RNAcentral.